This 1219-nucleotide unclassified non-coding RNA is filed under the name Hevea brasiliensis (rubber tree). The record is from RNAcentral. Lineage: Eukaryota; Viridiplantae; Streptophyta; Magnoliopsida; Malpighiales; Euphorbiaceae.
UUCAACAUGUCCCCACAUUCCCUCUCCCGCCGGCCGGAAGCUCCGGUACCGGUAAUCUUCUAUUUUUUCGGAGCUGUCUUAUUCUUUUUCUUCACUUUGCCUGUAAAUGGGUGGCGUCCAUGGCCCAACCAGAAGCCAAACGCCACUGAAUUGAUCUACGGCGGGUCCAAAAAGUAUGAGGGGUCAUCGGAGUUUGUCCAUUUGAAAUAUCACAUGGGCCCUGUUCUCACUGCAAAUAUUACCGUUUAUCCCAUUUGGUACGGCCGGUGGGGCAACUCCCAAAAGCGGAUUAUCCGCGAUUUCAUCAGCUCUUUCUCCGCCGUCGAAUCUAAACACCCUUCCGUCGCUGGUUGGUGGAAAACCGUUCAGCUCUACACCGAUCAAACCGGAGCCAACAUUUCCCGCACUCUCCAUCUCGGAGAAGAAAAAAACGACCGAUUUUACUCCCACGGUAAAUCCCUUACCCGACUGUCCGUACAAUCGGUGAUAAAAUCCGCCGUCACCGCCCGUACCCGUCCAUUACCAUUAAACCCCAAAACCGGCGUCUACUUAUUACUCACUUCCGAUGAUGUAUACGUUCAGGAUUUCUGCCAAAACGUUUGCGGAUUCCAUUACUUCACUUUCCCUUCCAUCGUCGGUUACACUUUACCGUACGCUUGGGUGGGUAACUCGGCUAAACUCUGUCCGGGUACAUGCGCUUACCCAUUUUCCGUACCCAGUUACAUGCCGGGUUUCAAAGCUGUAAAAUCCCCGAACAACGACGUGGGUGUUGACGGAAUGAUAAGCGUGAUUGCUCAUGAAAUUGCAGAGGUAUCAACGAACCCAUUAGUUAACGCUUGGUACGCAGGUCAGGACCCUAGUUUUCCGGUAGAGAUUGCGGAUCUUUGUGAAGGGAUUUACGGUACCGGCGGCGGUGGGUCGUAUACAGGGCAAAUGUUGAACGGAGAAGAUGGUGCUACAUAUAAUAUGAAUGGGGUGCGAAGGAGAUUUUUGGUUCAGUGGGUGUGGAAUCAUAUUUUGAAUUAUUGCAGUGGACCUAAUGCACUUGAUCAGUAAAUGUUUUGUUUACAAAAUUCAAGCAUUUUGGUUCUUAUUUAUGUUUAAAUUUUGGGUUAUUGAUGCAUAUUAAUUAAGCUCUGUUUUUUUUUACUAUAAGAUAUGUGUAGUGUAAUAAAAAUAGUUAUAAUUUUGUACACAGAGUUGGUUCUGUUUGUCAAAA